GAGGGUAUAGCUCAAUGGUAGAGUGCAUGCUUAGCACGCACAGGGUCCUAGGUUCAAAUCCUAGUACCUCCA
This 72-nucleotide transfer RNA is filed under the name Camelus bactrianus (Bactrian camel). It matches the Rfam family "tRNA". From Rfam's summary of the family: Transfer RNA (tRNA) molecules are approximately 80 nucleotides in length. Their secondary structure includes four short double-helical elements and three loops (D, anti-codon, and T loops). Further hydrogen bonds mediate the characteristic L-shaped molecular structure. tRNAs have two regions of fundamental functional importance: the anti-codon, which is responsible for specific mRNA codon recognition, and the 3' end, to which the tRNAs corresponding amino acid is attached (by aminoacyl-tRNA synthetases). tRNAs cope with the degeneracy of the genetic code in two manners: having more than one tRNA (with a specific anti-codon) for a particular amino acid; and 'wobble' base-pairing, i.e. permitting non-standard base-pairing at the 3rd anti-codon position. The record is from Rfam by way of RNAcentral. Lineage: Eukaryota; Metazoa; Chordata; Mammalia; Artiodactyla; Camelidae. RNAcentral also lists the same sequence under 2 other names.